This is a long non-coding RNA of Rana temporaria (common frog), 293 nucleotides long. RefSeq lists it as uncharacterized. The record is from RefSeq and is a predicted model, not a curated record. NCBI's taxonomy places the organism in Eukaryota, Metazoa, Chordata, Amphibia, Anura, Ranidae. The transcript is spliced from 3 exons.
GGUUAAAUGUCCGGAGCAGUGCACAGCAGAAGCAGACUGGGGCACAAAUGGAUAUACUGGUGUAACUCCAGUUUGCUUGGCAGCAAUUCAGUCUGGUAUUCUUCACAAAGGCUUUUUUAUGAUAGAAAAAAACAUAGCUGAAGGAACCUUUAUUAUGAAGAAACCUAUCGAAGAAAUAGCUGAAAAGAUGACAGAACAAUCAGAAGUUGAAGCUGACUGCACCACAACAGUAAAUCAGAUUCCCGAAGGAACUAUAAAGUACGUAGACUUUACAUAGGAAAUAAAUGUUUUUA